AACUGUAGAACUAGGAGGUGUAGAACUGUAGAACUAGGAGGUGUAGAACUGUAGAACUAGGAGGUGUAGAACUGUGGACCCAACCUGCUCACUGAAGGUCAUCAUCCAUAUUCACUCUAAUCUCCUGGAUCCGGAUCGAAGGACCGAUUUGUUCCGAUUCAGAUCGUAAGAAUUGGGUUUGGAUCACAAGGUGGUGAUCGCAGAAUGUUGAUCGAUUAAAAGCCUCAUUGAUCCUCAAUCAAAUGAUGAGGUGAUGAUUUCCUGGUUCUUUAAAAGGCAGAUUCAGGGUUUAGGUGGAUGGAUGUGGAUCUACAAAGGAUCAGAUAAAUAAAACU
Molecule: long non-coding RNA, 335 nt
Organism: Poecilia latipinna (sailfin molly)
Lineage: Eukaryota; Metazoa; Chordata; Actinopteri; Cyprinodontiformes; Poeciliidae
Exons: 2
Source: RefSeq, a predicted model, not a curated record